This 2181-nucleotide long non-coding RNA is filed under the name Triticum aestivum (bread wheat). RNAcentral's name for it is "long non-coding RNA (TAES_LNC027782)". The record is from RNAcentral. Lineage: Eukaryota; Viridiplantae; Streptophyta; Magnoliopsida; Poales; Poaceae.
UGAUUGAUCUGCCUUCGGUGCUGUGGCCCGUUUGGGCGUCCCGCUUACCAGUAUCAUUGUCAUUGUUUGGUUUCCUGAGUCCUGAUAUAUCCUCGGAUAUCGAACAUCGUUUUUAAUAAUAUGGAACUUGUGUUUUCAUAAUACCGUAGUAGUUUCUUUUUGGAGUUGAAGUACCCUGAAAAUCGGGUGCUGCGUAUCGUAAAUUGGAGCAGGUUUUUGUUCCAUGGUCCUGUAAUUUACCUGCUCAUACAAUGUUAAAACCUGUCAUAUGCUGAGUACACAUGUGUUCCGUCACUUUUUUCUUGCUUGGCUAUCGUUAAGUUUCAUUCAUGAAACGUGAUUGCGCUGAGGCGUCUGGAUUUUCCUUCGUCAGUUUGAUGCACGACUUUCAAGAUUUUGAUAAUGAAGGCAAAAAUACUGCCACUUCCUUCCUUGAUGUCAUGUACUCCCUCAGUUCCUAAAUGCAGUAUAAGUCUAGACAUUCCACUUAUAUUUAGGAACAGAUUUGAAGGCACAUAGCAGCAGAUUCCAAUCGACGUCCUCAUCCAGCAAAUCCAUCGACCAGUUCCUGAAAGAUCUCAAACCUGUAAAUUACACAUCUACAGGUUUGACAGUGCCAUUGAAGUAAUAAACGCAAUUCAAAUCUAUGUACAUGAACCACCUGCCUUUUGGAUAGUAAGCUGUAAGCCCUUGGGCACAAGACACUGUAUUCCAUCGCCCCGCAGCUUUGUACCAAAGACAAAUUAGAGACGAAUGGAAAGUUGCUCAAUAACACUAAAUUAAAGGCUAGCAGAUGAUACAAGACCCCAUGUAAGAAUAUUUUGUCAGUACAUAACUCAAACACGAACAUCUUACUGAAAGCACAAGUUCUUCGAAUCAUCUUGCUCAAUGACUUAUAAUAGAAUUGGGACAGGGACACCACCAAUAGUCCAAUACUAAUGCAAACAAAGAUCUCUUUCUCUAUCCUAACAACACCACGAGAGGAAACGCCUUCAUCCGAUCAUCUAAAAAACAGAGCACCCGAGCCUAUAACAUAGGAAUCACAUGCAUGAAAGGAAAAGACUGAACCAAUCAACCCCCAAACAAAAUAGUAAGCUCACCACAAUCAUAUACUAGUAUAUACAUGUACCUUUUCAUCCGCAAGGGAACAUAAACCUACCUACGAAUUCCUCCUAAAACCAUCUUGAUCCAACUAAAAAAUUUCACAGGAGAAAACUUCAAACCGGUAUGACCUUUCCAGAAAGAAAAAUAAAUACUCAAUAAGCAAGAUGGAUGUUUUGCACAAAAACAACAAUAGAACAAAAAAGUACUCCCUCCGUCCUAAAAUAAGUGUCUCAACUACAACGGAGGGAGUAACUGAAUGACUUUAGAUCACAGGACUAUGCUUUUACGCCAUGAACAAAUAGGAGAAAAGGAUGAAUAGGCUAAUAAAUAUACACACCUUUGCAUCAACACUAUGUCUGGUUGAGAUAACAUUCAAAGACAACAACAGUGGCAUAAAAAGCCCAACUUCACACUCAUAAAUUAUUAGAUCCAGUUAGGGCACACAAUGUUUUUGAAAUGAGCACCUCUCAACCCCAACCUAGCGGCUGCACCGCAGCGGCGGCAGCCACUGCGGCCCCGUCGCACACCACCCCACCGGCCACCUGAUGGUGUCCUGGACUAGGGGGUGCUUGACACGUCUACUCCCGACCAUAUGGGAUGGCGUUCCUGGUGAGGUGCAAGGCCAACUCUGAGGCCACCCUCGGCACCUACAAGGGCGACGCCACCCUCGGCGAGGGCGCCUCCGAGAGCCUCCACGUCAAGGACUACAAGUACUGAUCUAUCUGCCUUCGGUGCUGUGGCCCGUUUUGGCAUCCCACUUUUCAUUGUUUGGUUUUCGGAUAUCGAACAUCGUUUUUAAUAAUAUGGAACUUGUGUUUUCAUAAUACCGUAGUAGCUUAUUUUUGGAGUUGAAUUACCCUGUAAAUUGGGUACUACGUAUCGUAAAUUGGAGCAGGUUUUUGUUCCAUGGUCCUGUAAUUUACCUGCUCAUACAAUGGUAAAACCUGUUAUAUGCUGAGUACACAUCUGUUCCAUCGUUUUUUCUGAUUUUAAAGGCGCCUGAACUAUUUUGGGCGUCACUCCUUCCGCUUCGCGCGAGUGGAGCGCUGGCAAGCCGUGAGCGGAAUCAAUCCUAAC